This 1297-nucleotide ribosomal RNA is filed under the name uncultured bacterium. RNAcentral describes it as "bacterial SSU rRNA". It matches the Rfam family "Bacterial small subunit ribosomal RNA", at positions 66 to 1367 of the family's 1533-position model. The record is from RNAcentral.
ACGGUACAGCACUUCGGUGGCUGACGAGUGGCGCACGGGUGCGUAACGCGUACACAAUCUACCUUUUACAGGGGGAUAGCCCAGAGAAAUUUGGAUUAAUACCCCAUGGCAUAUAUUUAUGGCAUCAUAUAUAUAUUAAAGAUUCAUCGGUAAGAGAUGAGUAUGCGUUCUAUUAGCUAGUUGGUGCGGUAACGGCGCACCAAGGCUACGAUAGAUAGGGGCCCUGAGAGGGGGAUCCCCCACACUGGUACUGAGACACGGACCAGACUCCUACGGGAGGCAGCAGUGAGGAAUAUUGGACAAUGGGCGAGAGCCUGAUUCAGCCAUGCCGCGUGCAGGAAGACUGCCCUAUGGGUUGUAAACUGCUUUUAUACGGGAAGAAACACCCCCUCGUGAGGGGGCUUGACGGUACCGUAAGAAUAAGGAUCGGCUAACUCCGUGCCAGCAGCCGCGGUAAUACGGAGGAUCCAAGCGUUAUCCGGAAUCAUUGGGUUUAAAGGGUCCGUAGGUGGAUGGUUAAGUCAGAGGUGAAAUCCUGCAGCCCAACUGUAGAAUUGCCUUUGAUACUGGCCGUCUUGAGUCAUUGUGAAGUGGUUGGAAUAUGUAGUGUAGCGGUGAAAUGCAUAGAUAUUACAUAGAACACCGAUUGCGAAGGCAGAUCACUAACAAUGUACUGACACUGAUGGACGAAAGCGUGGGGAGCGAACAGGAUUAGAUACCCUGGUAGUCCACGCCGUAAACGAUGGUCACUAGCUGUCCGGACCUUAGGGUCUGGGUGGCUAAGCGAAAGUGAUAAGUGACCCACCUGGGGAGUACGUUCGCAAGAAUGAAACUCAAAGGAAUUGACGGGGGCCCGCACAAGCGGUGGAGCAUGUGGUUUAAUUCGAUGAUACGCGAGGAACCUUACCAGGGCUUAAAUGUAAGUUGCAUAGAUCAGAGAUGGUCUUUUCUUCGGACUACUUACAAGGUGCUGCAUGGUUGUCGUCAGCUCGUGCCGUGAGGUGUCAGGUUAAGUCCUAUAACGAGCGCAACCCCUGUUGUUAGUUGCCAGCGAGUGAAGUCGGGAACUCUAACAAGACUGCCGGUGCAAACCGUGAGGAAGGUGGGGAUGACGUCAAAUCAUCACGGCCCUUACGUCCUGGGCUACACACGUGCUACAAUGGCCGGUACAGAGAGCAGCCACACCGCAAGGUGGAGCGAAUCUACAAAACCGGUCUCAGUUCGGAUCGGGGUCUGCAACUCGACCCCGUGAAGCUGGAAUCGCUAGUAAUCGGAUAUCAGCCAUGAUCCGGUGAAU